RNAcentral lists this ribosomal RNA (484 nucleotides) under uncultured bacterium. Its description in RNAcentral is "partial 16S ribosomal RNA". It matches the Rfam family "Bacterial small subunit ribosomal RNA", at positions 30 to 507 of the family's 1533-position model. The record is from RNAcentral.
AUUGAACGCUGGCGGCAGGCCUAACACAUGCAAGUCGAGCGGAUGAACGGAGCUUGCUUCUGGAUGCAGGGGCGGACGGGGGACGGGUGCCUAACAAGCUGGUAAGCUGUGGGGUUUUACGGGAUAACAGGGGGACAAUUACGGUAUAACGGCUUAGGGAGGAAGUGUGGGAUCAUGGGACCUGGCGCGAUAAGGUGAGGGUAGGUCGUGUUAUCUAGUUGGUGGGGUAAGGGCCUACCAAGGCGACGAUCCGUAGCUGGUCUGAGAGGAUGAUCAGCCACACUGGAACUGAGACACGGUCCAGACUCCUACGGGAGGCAGCAGUGGGGAAUAUUGGAGAAUGGGCGAAAGCCUGAUCCAGCCAUGCCGCGUGGGUGAAGAAGGUCUUCGGAUUGUAAAGCACUUUUGUUGGGAAGGAAGAGCAGCAGGUUAAUACCUUGCUGUUUUGACGUUACCUACAGAAUAAGCACCGGCUAACUUCGUG